This 356-nucleotide long non-coding RNA is filed under the name Marmota monax (woodchuck). Lineage: Eukaryota; Metazoa; Chordata; Mammalia; Rodentia; Sciuridae. The record is from RNAcentral.
UGAAGGCAGAUCUUGAGAGAUCAUUAUAGAAAAACUCUUUCAUUUUACAGAAGAGAAAACGAAAGCCCAGAGACCGGCUGAAGGUCACGCAGCUCGUUAGUAAUCCAGUCAGGAUGAGAACUCCGAAACCACGCCAGAAUGUUGUAUGAACUACCUUUUCCCGGCUGUCAUCUUUAUUCAUCCUUCCUCCUCCUCCCCCCACACUCUGACAGAAUUCUGCUCCUCUAUUAUUAUUCUUGUUACACUCGGCUUGGUGUUAUUUACGUAUGUCUGUUUCCCUCCCAGAACAUGAACUUUUACUCCUGGAACUCUGAGACCAUAUCUGAUUUAUCUUUGUAGUUUUGCACAUAGUAGGU